Molecule: ribosomal RNA, 454 nt
Filed under: uncultured bacterium
Lineage: Bacteria
Description: partial 16S ribosomal RNA
Rfam family: Bacterial small subunit ribosomal RNA
Source: RNAcentral
GAUGAACGCUGACAGAAUGCUUAACACAUGCAAGUCAACUUGAACUUCGGUUUGGGUGGCGGACGGGUGAGUAACGCGUAAAGAACUUGCCUCACAGAUAGGGACAACAUUUGGAAACGAAUGCUAAUACCUGAUAUUAUGAUUAUAUGGCAUCGUAUAAUUAUGAAAGCUAUAUGCGCCGUGAGAGAGCUUUGCGUCCCAUUAGCUAGUUGGAGAGGUAACGGCUCACCAAGGCGAUGAUGGGUAGCCGGCCUGAGAGGGUGAUCGGCCACAAGGGGACUGAGACACGGCCCUUACUCCUACGGGAGGCAGCAGUGGGGAAUAUUGGACAAUGGACCAAGAGUCUGAUCCAGCAAUUCUGUGUGCACGAUGAAGUUUUUCGGAAUGUAAAGUGCUUUCAGUUGGGAAGAAAAAAAUGACGGUACCAACAGAAGAAGUGACGGCUAAAUACGUG